CAAUGGCGUAUAUUAAAGUUGUUGCGGUUAAAAAGCUCGUAGUUGGAUUUCUGCCGAGGACGACCGGUCCGCCCUCUGGGUGAGUAUCUGGCUCGACCUGGGCAUCCUUCCAGAGAAUGUGUCUGCUCUUGACUGAGUGGUGCAGUAUCUGGAACUUUUACUUUGAGGAAAUUAGAGUGUUCAAAGCAGGCCUAUGCUCUGAAUAGGUUAGCAUGGAAUAAUAGAAUAGGACUUUGGUUCUAUUUUGUUGGUUUCUAGGACCGAAGUAAUGAUUAAUAGGGACAGUUGGGGGCAUUCAUAUUCCAUUGUCAGAGGUGAAAUUCUUGGAUUAACGGAAGAUGAACUUCUGCGAAAGCAUCUGCCAAGGAUGUUUUCAUUGAUCAAGAACGAAAGUUAGGGAUCGAAGAUGAUCAGAUACCAU
RNAcentral lists this ribosomal RNA (421 nucleotides) under uncultured eukaryote. RNAcentral's name for it is "bacterial SSU rRNA". It matches the Rfam family "Eukaryotic small subunit ribosomal RNA", at positions 592 to 1018 of the family's 1831-position model. The record is from RNAcentral.